AGGUCUAANCUGCCCAAUGAGGAAUUAAAUGGCCGCAGUAUUUUGACUGUGCAAAGGUAGCAUAAUUAUUAGUUUUUUAAUUGAAAGCUUGUAUGAAGGGUUGGACGAGAUAAAAUCUGUCUUUAUUUAAAUUACAAUAGAAUUUAACUUUUAAGUCAAAAGGCUUAAAUGUAUAUAAAAGACGAGAAGACCCUAUAGAUCUUUAUUUAAUUAAUAUUUUGAUAAUUUAAGAUUAUUUUAGUUUAAAGUUUUAAUUAAAUUUUAUUGGGGUAAUAUAAAGAUUAAAUAAAUUCUUUUUAUUUAUUACAUUGAUUUAUGAAUAUAUGAUCCAAUAUUAUUGAUUAUAAGAUUAAGUUACCUUAGGGAUAACAGCGUAAUUUUUUUGGAGAGCUCAUAUCGAUAAAAAAGUUUGCGACCUCGAUGUUGGAUUAAAAAUUAGCUUGGGUGCAGAAGCUCAAGAUUUUGGUCUGUUCGACCAUUAAAUUUUUACAUGAUCUGAGUUCAGACCGGCGUAAGCCAGGUCGGUUUCUAUCUUUAUUUAUCUAAAAUAUUUUAGUACGAAAGGACCAAAUAUUUAAUAUAAUUAUAUUUAUUUUUUGAAUAAUAUU
This 608-nucleotide ribosomal RNA is filed under the name Cicindela transversalis. RNAcentral's name for it is "partial 16S ribosomal RNA". It matches the Rfam family "Bacterial large subunit ribosomal RNA", at positions 1850 to 2739 of the family's 2925-position model. Lineage: Eukaryota; Metazoa; Arthropoda; Insecta; Coleoptera; Carabidae. The record is from RNAcentral.